This 506-nucleotide ribosomal RNA is filed under the name uncultured bacterium. Its description in RNAcentral is "partial 16S ribosomal RNA". It matches the Rfam family "Bacterial small subunit ribosomal RNA", at positions 29 to 523 of the family's 1533-position model. The record is from RNAcentral.
AGUGAACGCUGGCGGUAGGCCUAACACAUGCAAGUCGAACGGCAGCACAGAGGAGCUUGCUCCUUGGGUGGCGAGUGGCGGACGGGUGAGGAAUACAUCGGAAUCUACUCUGUCGUGGGGGAUAACGUAGGGAAACUUACGCUAAUACCGCAUACGACCUACGGGUGAAAGCAGGGGAUCUUCGGACCUUGCGCGAUUGAAUGAGCCGAUGUCGGAUUAGCUAGUUGGCGGGGUAAAGGCCCACCAAGGCGACGAUCCGUAGCUGGUCUGAGAGGAUGAUCAGCUACACUGGAACUGAGACACGGUCCAGACUCCUACGGGAGGCAGCAGUGGGGAAUAUUGGAUAAUGGGCGCAAGCCUGAUCCAGCCAUACCGCGUGGGUGAAGAAGGCCUUCGGGUUGUAAAGCCCUUUUGUUGGGAAAGAAAUCCAGCUGGCUAAUACCCGGUUGGGAUGACGGUACCCAAAGAAUAAGCACCGGCUAACUUCGUGCCAGCCGCCGCCGUAA